Oryza rufipogon (brownbeard rice) is the source of this 170-nucleotide ribosomal RNA. It matches the Rfam family "Bacterial large subunit ribosomal RNA", at positions 2473 to 2632 of the family's 2925-position model. Lineage: Eukaryota; Viridiplantae; Streptophyta; Magnoliopsida; Poales; Poaceae. The record is from Rfam.
GAUAACAGGUUGAUCUUCCCCAAGAGUCGACAUCAGUCCACAUCGACGGGAAGGUUUGGCACCUCGAUGUCGGCUCUUCGCCACCUGGAGCUGUAGGUGGUUCCAAGGGUUGGGCUGUUCGCCCAUUAAUGCGGUACGUGAGCUAGGUUCAGAACGUCGUGAGACAGUUC